AAGGGUGCGUAGGCGGAUGUGUAAGUCAGGUGUGAAAGCCCUCGGCUCAACCGGGGAAUUGCGCUUGAAACUGCACGUCUAGAGCAUGUCAGAGGCAGGCGGAAUUCCCGGAGUAGCAGUGAAGUGCGUAGAUAUCGGGAAGAACACCGGUGGCGAAGGCGGCCUGCUGGGACAGUGCUGACGCUGAGGCACGAAAGCGCGGGGAGCGAACGGGAUUAGAUACCCCGGUAGUCCACGCCGUAAACGAUGGAUACUAGAUGUUGGACACGCUGAAGUGUUCAGUGUCGAAACAAAUGCGAUAAGUAUCCCGCCUGGGGAGUACGACCGCAAGGUUUAAACUCAAAGGAAUUGACGGGGGCCCGCACAAGCGGUGGAGCAUGUGGUUUAAUUCGAUGCAACGCGAAGAACCUUACCCGGAUUUGACAUCCUUCGGACCGUCUCUGGAGACAGAGACUUUCUCUUCGGAGACCGAAGUGACAGGUGCUGCAUGGCUGUCGUCAGCUCGUGUUGUGAAAUGUUGGGUUAAGUCCCGCAACGAGCGCAACCCUUGUUCUUAGUUGCCAGCAUUAAGAUGGGCACUCUAAGAAGACUGCCGAGGUUAACUCGGAGGAAGGUGGGGAUGACGUCAAGUCCUCAUGGCCCUUAUGUCCGGGGCUACACACGUGCUACAAUGGUAUAGACAGAGGGAAGCUACGCCGCAAGGCCACGCGGAUCCUCAAACUGUAUCACAGUUCGGAUCGGGGUCUGCAACUCGACCUCGUGAAGGUGGAAUCGCUAGUAAUCGCGGAUCAGCAUGCCGCGGUGAUAAGUUCCCGGGACUUGUACACACCGCCCGUCACACCAUGGAAGUUGUCUUCACNUGGAAGAUGCUGAGCCAGCCAGGCAGG
RNAcentral lists this ribosomal RNA (887 nucleotides) under uncultured organism. RNAcentral describes it as "bacterial SSU rRNA". It matches the Rfam family "Bacterial small subunit ribosomal RNA", at positions 563 to 1446 of the family's 1533-position model. The record is from RNAcentral.